RNAcentral lists this ribosomal RNA (460 nucleotides) under uncultured bacterium. RNAcentral describes it as "partial 16S ribosomal RNA". It matches the Rfam family "Bacterial small subunit ribosomal RNA", at positions 338 to 795 of the family's 1533-position model. The record is from RNAcentral.
CCUACGGGAGGCAGCAGUGAGGAAUAUUGGUCAAUGGGCGAGAGCCUGAACCAGCCAAGUCGCGUGAAGGAUGACGGCCCUACGGGUUGUAAACUUCUUUUGUCAGGGAGCAAUUGGGUCCACGCGUGGGCUUAGCGAGAGUACCUGCAGAAAAAGCCUCGGCUACCUCCGUGCCAGCAGCCGCGGUAAUACGGAGGAUUCGAGCGUUCUCCGGCUUUAUUGGGUUUAAAGGUUGCGUAGGCGGAAUAUCAAGUCAGCGGUAAAAAUUCGGGGCUCAACCCCGUCGUGCCGUUGAAACUGAUGUUCUGGAGUGGGCGAGAAGUAGGCGGAAGGCGUGGUGUAGCGGUGAAAUGCAUAGAUAUCACGCAGAACUCCGAUUGCGAAGGCAGCAUACCGGAGCCCAACUGACGCUGAAGCACGAAAGCGUGGGUAUCGAACAGGAUUAGAUACCCUAGUAGUC